GUCAUUGUAGUUUAAUUGAAAAACUCAUACUAUUAUGUGAGAUGAGUUCUGGGUUCAAACCCCAGCAGUGGCC
Molecule: transfer RNA, 73 nt
Filed under: Dreissena polymorpha
Lineage: Eukaryota; Metazoa; Mollusca; Bivalvia; Myida; Dreissenidae
Description: tRNA-Asn
Rfam family: tRNA
About the family: Transfer RNA (tRNA) molecules are approximately 80 nucleotides in length. Their secondary structure includes four short double-helical elements and three loops (D, anti-codon, and T loops).
Source: RNAcentral